UACAGAGGAUGCAAGCGUUAUCCGGAAUGAUUGGGCGUAAAGCGUGCGUAAGCGGUUCUCCAAGUCCGUUGUGAAAGCCCCGGGCUCAACCUGGGAAUGGCAGUGGAAACUAGGGGACUGGAAUCUGGCAGAGGGGGGUGGAAUGCCGCGUGUAGCAGUGAAAUGCGUAGAGAUGCGGCGGAACACCGAUGGCGAAGGCAGCCCCCUGGGCUGAGAUUGACGCUCAGGCACGAAAGCGUGGGGAGCAAACAGG
RNAcentral lists this ribosomal RNA (253 nucleotides) under uncultured bacterium. RNAcentral's name for it is "partial 16S ribosomal RNA". It matches the Rfam family "Bacterial small subunit ribosomal RNA", at positions 524 to 776 of the family's 1533-position model. The record is from RNAcentral.